Molecule: ribosomal RNA, 406 nt
Filed under: uncultured bacterium
Lineage: Bacteria
Description: partial 16S ribosomal RNA
Rfam family: Bacterial small subunit ribosomal RNA
Source: RNAcentral
AUUGAACGCUGGCGGCAGGCCUAACACAUGCAAGUCGAACGAGUGGCGGACGGGUGAGUAAUGUCUGGGAAACUGCCCUAUGGAGGGGGAUAACUACUGGAAACGGUAGCUAAUACCGCAUACCAUCGGAUGAGCCCAUAUGGGAUUAGCUAGUAGGUGGGGUAAAGGCUCACCAAGUCGACGAUCCCUAGCUGGUCUGAGAGGAUGACCAGCCACACUGGAACUGAGACACGGCCCAGACUCCUACGGGAGGCAGCAGUGGUGAAUAUUGCGCAAUGGGCGCAAGCCUGAUGCAGCCAUGCCGCGUGAAUGAAGAAGGCCUUCGGGUUGUAAAGUUCUUUCGGGAAGGAGGCGUUACCUGCAGAAGAAGCACCGGCUAACUCCGUGCCAGCCGCCGCGGUAAUAC